This 253-nucleotide ribosomal RNA is filed under the name uncultured bacterium. Its description in RNAcentral is "partial 16S ribosomal RNA". It matches the Rfam family "Bacterial small subunit ribosomal RNA", at positions 524 to 776 of the family's 1533-position model. The record is from RNAcentral.
UACGUAGGGCGCAAGCGUUGUCCGGAAUUAUUGGGCGUAAAGAGCUCGUAGGCGGUUUGUCGCGUCUGCCGUGAAAGUCCGGGGCUCAACUCCGGAUCUGCGGUGGGUACGGGCAGACUAGAGUGAUGUAGGGGAGACUGGAAUUCCUGGUGUAGCGGUGAAAUGCGCAGAUAUCAGGAGGAACACCGAUGGCGAAGGCAGGUCUCUGGGCAUUAACUGACGCUGAGGAGCGAAAGCAUGGGGAGCGAACGGG